Molecule: ribosomal RNA, 253 nt
Filed under: uncultured bacterium
Lineage: Bacteria
Description: partial 16S ribosomal RNA
Rfam family: Bacterial small subunit ribosomal RNA
Source: RNAcentral
UACGAAGGGGGCUAGCGUUGCUCGGAAUUACUGGGCGUAAAGGGCGCGUAGGCGGACGGCUUAGUCAGAGGUGAAAGCCCAGGGCUCAACCUUGGAAUUGCCUUUGAUACUGGCCGUCUAGAGUUCGGGAGAGGUGAGUGGAAUGCCGAGUGUAGAGGUGAAAUUCGUAGAUAUUCGGCGGAACACCAGUGGCGAAGGCGACUCACUGGCCCGGUACUGACGCUGAGGCGCGAAAGCCAGGGGAGCGAACGGG